Molecule: long non-coding RNA, 1507 nt
Filed under: Aotus nancymaae (Ma's night monkey)
Lineage: Eukaryota; Metazoa; Chordata; Mammalia; Primates; Aotidae
Description: lncRNA (ENSANAG00000038695.1)
Source: RNAcentral
CUGAGUUUUUAUUGGCUGAAGUUAUUUUUUCAUGUCCUGCUGGAACAAAAUAUGGUCCUGGGAUUCUGGUAAGUAUAAACCACCUCAUUCAUCAGCAGGUGGCCCAGAACACCAGGGGAAGCUGUGCUGGAAAAUGAAGACAGGCCCAUCUCUACUUACCAAUGUCACUGUCUCACCAGUGCCUCUCGCUGUCCUCACCAGUGCUUCCUGUCUCACCAAUGCCUCUCUCUCACCAGUGCGUCUCUCACCAAUGCCUCUCUCUCUCUCACCAAUGCCUCUCUCUCACCAAUGCCUCUCUCUCACCAAAGCCUCUCUCUCACCCAAUGCCUCUCUCUCACCAAUAGCCUCUCUCUUCACCAAUGCCUUCUCUCUCACCAAAGCCUCUCUCUCUCACCAAUGCCUCUCUCUCACCAAAGCCUCUCUCUCUCACCAAUGCCUCUCUCUCACCAAUGCCUCUCUCUCUCACCAAUGCCUCUCUCUCUCACCAAUGCCUCUCUCUCACCAGUGCCUCUCUCUCACCAGUGCCUCUCUCUCACCAGUGCCUCUCUCUCACCAGUGCCUCUCUCUCUCUCACCAAUGCUCUCUCUCUCACCAAUGCCUCUCUCUCACCAAAGCCUCUCUCUCACCAAUGCCUCUCUCUCUCUCACCAGUGCCUCUCUCUCACCAGUGCCUCUCUGUCUCUCACCAAUGCCUCUCUCUCUCUUCACCAUGCCUCUCACCUGGCCUCUCUUCUCUCACCAAUGCCUCUCUCUCACCAAUGCCUCUCUCUCUCUCAUUAAAUCCUCUCCUCAUCUCUUCACCAAUGCCUCUCUCUUCUCACCAAAGCCUCCUCCACCAGUGCCUCUCUCUCUCACCAAUGCCUCUCUCUCACCAAAGCCUCUCUCUCACCAAUGCCUCUCUCUCUCUCACACCAUCUCCUCUCUCUCACCAAUGCCUCUCUCUCACCAAAGCCUCUCUCUCACCAGUGCCUCUCUCAUCUCACCAAUGCCUCUCUCUCACCUAUGCCUCUCUCUCACCAAUGCCUCUCUCUCUUCACCAAUGCCUCUCUUUCUCACCAAUGCCUCUCUCUCUCACCAAUGCCUCUCUCUCAUCAAAGCCUCCCUCUCACCAAUGCCUCUCUCUCUCUCACCAGUGCCUCUCUCUCACCAGUGCCUCUCUCACCAGUGCCUCUCUCUCUCACCAAUGCCUCUCUCUCAUCAAAGCCUCCCUCUCACCAAUGCCUCUCUCUCUCUCACCAGUGCCUCUCUCUCACCAGUGCCUCUCUCUCUUUCCACCAAAGCCUCUCUCUCAUCAAUGCGCUCUCUCUCACCAAUGCCUCUCUCUCUCAACCAAUGCUGCCUCUCUCCCCUCUCAAACCAAAGCCUCUCUCUCACCAAUGCUUCUCUCUCUCUCACCAGUGCCUCUCUCACCAGUGCCUCUCUCACCAAUGCCUCUCUCUCUCACCAAUGCCUCUCUCUCACCAGUGCUCUCUCUCUCCACCCAAUGCCUCUCCUCUCACCAAUGCCCU